This is a non-coding RNA of Peromyscus maniculatus bairdii (prairie deer mouse), 14977 nucleotides long. NCBI's taxonomy places the organism in Eukaryota, Metazoa, Chordata, Mammalia, Rodentia, Cricetidae. The record is from RefSeq and is a predicted model, not a curated record.
GCGGGAGGGGCAGGGAGGCGCUGUAGGUCAUGGAGCCCAAGGGCGCCCCGACGGGUCCCCCCGGCGGCAGGCCCAGCGCGGGCGAGCCGGUGCGCAUCUGGUUCAGGGUCGGCCUGCCUUGCUCGCCCGAGCCAAACGGGGCUGCUGGACUUCCCCGUGGCCAGGGCCUGGCUGUCCUUGGGCUCUGUGGAUUCUAGAGGUUUGGCAAAUGGAUCGAAGGAUGAGGCACCACCUAGAGCUAGCCAGGAGGAAGAGGGAAAUGGAGUCAACUAGAAGAAAGGCAUCUUUUAAUGACCCCUCACCUCUGAUCAGCACUUCCCAUUUAUACAACGUUUCCUCAUCCAUGUAGUGCCCCAUUUCAUACCAUCGCUGUGAGGCUCUCUGUCCCGUCGACGUCGGCCAGCGGGUUCUGUGCCGCCGUUGGCCACGGGAGAGUCAUCAUCCUUCCAGGACCUCGCCCCCUGCCGAAGGGACAGGUACCCUGAGAACGUCUCUAGCCCACCCAUGUAAGAGACAUAAAUGUUUCCUGCCUGGUCUGCCUGGAUCCACAGAGAUAAUGAAAGAUGAUGAGGCAUCCUGUCCAGACCCAGGUCUCACCUUUUCAGCCUCUUCACGGCUCAUGGCCAGGGCCAGCUGCAGCUGCAGUUCUUCUUCUCCGGAUGUCUGGGGCCGGGCCUGCUCCAGGUCUGAGGCAUAGCGCGGGGACGAGGAUGCAGCUGCAACAAGAGUGGUUCCCGUGAGCACACCGGUCCCCACGGUCCCCACGGUCCCCACAUUCCUCUGCCUGCCAGGAAGCUGGGCCUCACAGAGAGGGAGCCAAAGGAGACUGGCUCUUCAGGCUCCCGGGAGCCAGGCAGUGCACUGGGCAGCCCAUGUGGGUUUCCACUGCUAAGGCAGAUGCCAGGGUCACCUUGGCAGGGAGUAGACAGUGCAGGGGGUGCCUGGCCACUCAGGGCCCUAAGUCAGAACUUAAUGCAGGUCCCUGACAUCAGCUCUUGAACUCUUCCAAUGGGACCCUAGCCUGCUUGGGGCCACGGGGAUUAAGAGGAAGGGAUCUGCCAAUCAAACAAAAUCACAGCCUCGGAGCCCCAAGCAGGCCAUCAUGGGCUUUAUGGAGGAGGGCCAUUCUGGUAUUCCUAAGGUCACAAAGGCCUCCACACCACUGUGGCAAGCCAUCAGGAAGGAUGUUUCAUCACCAGCCACCCUUGUUUUCAAGGACAAUACUCUUGAGUGGUGGGGAUUUACAAAAACAUCAGGUGUCUUGAGUAAAAGGGUCAAGGGCAUUCUUGGGCCUUGUCUCAUUCAGUUCUCAGAUCAAACAAUAGAGGGAGGUAAGUGUACCUCUGUUUUACAAAGAGCUGGUUGCCCAAGCCACGCAGCUUGGAAGGAACAGAAUGAAUGGUAUGCAACUCCAGAGGCUGCAUUUCGACCUCCCUGCCACCCUCUCAACAGCUAACUAAUAACAAGGACAAGCAAUUGAUAAUGCCAUUAUCUCAUCCGAAUUGCCGAGCACCUACUGUGUGCAAGCAUGGUGCUUUUUCACAUUACGUUCUUUAUCUGGAUGGGUCCUCCCAGCCUCCUUUCUGGGGUAGGGACUCUCUCUCAUUCAUGGCUGCGGGCUGCAGAGCCAGGACUGUGGCUGGGCUACCACCACCAUCACCACCCUCUCCAGCCAUACCAUUCGGGUCUACUCACAGGUGUAGGAGGAGGGGGAUCCCCGAGAUCUCCGGCUGAAGCCCAGCUGCCCACUGCCAAUGCUCAUGCCCUCCAGGGCCAUCCUCUCUUUGGUCUUGAGGGCGUGGGUUCGCUCUUGCCGCAGACGCUCCUCGUCCCUGAGCAGGGCCAUCACCUGUUUGACCUUCUCACGGACAUUGACGCCUUGGUCCUUGCCAUCGCGGUCAAUGUACUGGAAGUCCUUGAGCGUCUGGAUGGUGUAGAGGUUCUCACGGCACUGGUGGGCCACACGCUCCGAGCCCGUCUUGAGUAAGUAGUCCAACAGUGUCAGAGCCUUGUAUACAUGUCGCCAGUUCUUCCCGCUGUCAUUGAGUCGCCGCCACAACAUGCCCAUGACCUCAGCAAAGGCCACUGUGUUGAAGGUCAAGUCAGCGAUCUCGGACAUGAGGGAACUGGGUGGGCCCCAGGGGUCAUUGCUGGUGGCCUCGCGCACCUUGAUCUCGGCCUCCGAGUAGUUGUGAACAAUGUUCUUCACCUGGCGUCGGAGCGCAGAGGUUGUCAUGGUCGGGGACUUGGAGGUGGGCAGCCCCCACCCCCGCCGGAGGUAGAGGGCUGAGGGCCACCGUCUUGAGGUCACUGUCUCGAAGGAUGGGCCGCCGUGCUUUCAGCAGGGCGGCUGCGUCCUUGGGUUCCACAUGGGGCUGAGAAAAAGAGGACCUGGGACUCAGGAUCGGUGGCUUCCUCACCGUUCAUUCACUCACCGAGUAGGACCUGGCCAGAGAGUCCCUGCUGCCAGGAAUGGCUUUGGCCAACACUUAACUUUUAUUUUUCUUACUGUACCCACUGCUCAAUGGACCCUGUUUGUUUGGCAUGCUUGUCCAUACGACCACCAGACCAAGAUGUUGAGAUGCCCUAUCUCUAGUCACAUAGGGGGACAGGUGGGACUCAAAGAAUGAGUCCAUGAUUAUUCCUCUGACAUCACAGAGCUGGUAAGUGGGGGCAGUCCUCCCUCCGCCUGAAUGGGUGGCUUCAAGGAUCAUAAAGUGACCACCAGGAAUGUCAGUUUCCUGCCCCACUCACGCUUGUCUCCUCCUCCAUUUGUGCCUCAACCUUUCCAGUUCAGCCCUUCACUCUUUCCUCUGAUGGCCAUUCUUCAUAAUUUAAUUCACUCAACGCCCAUUUCCUGGGGGUCUUCCCCAAGCCCCGCCACAUGCUUGUAGAACACCCACAACCAAGUGGAAGGGUCCGGCGAUCACAGCCCACGGUGGGCGUGCUCAGAGGUAAAGAAGGCACAAGCAAAGAGGAUAGUGGGCACCUUCCUAGAGGAGGUGGCACUAAGUUAGACACAGAGAGAAGGGUGAGGAGAUGGAGGGGACCAGCGAAGUGAGGAAUCUGUGAGCAUCAGGGGUGCACCUGCUGGCCUCUGCCACACGCGCCCAGGAGUGCUGUACCCGCCUGUGUCAAAGGGCAUGUAGGUGGCAGGGCUGAGAUGAACACCACCUGUUUCCUUGAGACUAAUUCAAUACUUAUCGUCAACGUCACCUAGUUGGUUAAUUAAUCCAUCUAAUUACUUGUUUCAGAACCACCUUUUCAGCCAGAAUGGAAGUUCCCUGAGGGCAGGGGCAGUCCACGCAAACUACCAAGGCCUUAGGCACACAGAAGACCUCUGAUAGUCCCAUAGACGCAGAUUCAAAGGGACGGUCGGCCACAUGUCUUUCCACAGCCUCGGGAGGCAGAGGAGAGUCCCCCAAGGCCUUGCCAGAAACCCAAAGUAGGAGCCUCCUGCCUUCAUCAUGGCACUAAUACAGUUUUACACACGAAUACAUGUGUACAAACACACACACACACACACACACACACAGAAGCUGGGUCAGCAGAACCUCCAUUUUCUCCAUGAACGCCCCCCACCACCAUAGAGAUCACGCCUCCCCAGAUCACCCUCCGGCCUGACCUCAGCUGUCCCAGCCUCCUGAGAGGUGGGGGCAGGAGUUGCAGUAUGGGAAGUUUGUCCUUCCAGCACCCGCAGGUGAAUGAUUGGCUCAGUUCAAAGUACCCACAGGCCUUGGCCGGUCCCGAUCUUGAGCCGAAGGAUGGGAGUCUGUGGAAAGUGGACCCCCUGGCCCGUAGAGCUGCCUACCUUAUGUCUUUCUGUCCAGCCGGCCUUCUGUGGGAAUGCCACAGCCACAACUUGUUUAACUCCUGCCCUCCCCCUCGCUAGUGACUCAGACCUGUAUUCACCUCCCCAGUGGGAGGGCGGGCUGGCAGUGGCAGUCAAGAUGGGAAUAAUUGUGCCCAAAGCCCGCCCUGGUGUACAUGCUCCUCCCUGCUGGCUGCUGGAAUUGGCAGAACCAGUCAGAGCAGACAUCCUGACUCCACCAGAGCCCUACCUGGGCCUGGCUUCCCAGGCCUUCCUACUUUGCCAGGGUGGGUGCAACCAGCCUCCGCGGGAAGGGACCCUCUCUGAAGGCCCCAUGACCCUCCGUGGACUUUCCUCUCUCAGGAACAAGGUGGACAUUGCUUGCACACCUUUGCUGGAGCUGGGGGAAAGGAAGGGACCGGAAACAAAAGGAGAUGCCUGAACCUCCUCCACCCCAGCCAUUCCUGUGCUCUCGUGGAGUUGAACACAGUAGGGACACAGGAGCAAGAGGGCCAGGGUGAGGUCCCAGGGCAUGCACGAAGCUGAGAGGAAAGGGAGGCGGGAGGAGCGCCUGGGAGCCCUGCCAGCGGUGUUACAAGCAGAAGGUUUUAUCGAACACAAUAUGCCCAGGAAUAAAAAGGGAGUGAAACACAAACCCAGCUGCCGAUAAGACGGUGCGGCAGCGGCAGCCCCGGGCAGCGGGUAUGGAAUUACUGCAGUGACCUUGAGCCAGACCCUGCCAGGUGGAGGGAAGGACACUGAGAAGCCAGAACCUGGGAGGCCACUUCAGAGAUGGAAAGAAAGCAGGAGGGUACUAGCAGAGAGGGAGCAUAGGCUGGUCUGGGGGUGGGGACAUAGAGUAGAGACUCCCUCCUCCACACGGGUCCCCAAGGAGGAAUUGGAGUGGUGGAACUUCUCAGGACACAAGUCCAGAAGGGUGCCAGGGUGGGGGAUGGAGAAAUUCCUAAAAGUCAGCAGUGAGGAAGCAGAUGGCAUCCCCAGGGUGGAGGUUCAGAGAGAUGGAAAGAACCAAUCACAUGCACGAAUUUGCCAAAGAAUGUGCGCACCUCCACCAGCCAGCACCCUCCCCAUCGUGGGUCCCCAUCAAGCCCAGAGUGAGCAAUGGGGGAGUGGCAAUAUCCUUCCUGCUGCUAGAGGGAUGUGGGACUGGAUGGUAGCUAACCUCAGGCUGCCUGGCUUCAUCAGAUCUGAGUUGGCUGUGUCCGGUAGAGCACUGGAGUGGACUAAGGGGGCAUCCUGAGGUUAGCGGUGUAAACACAGAGAUAUGCAGGAUCUGAGGGGACCGCCACCAAGAACCUCUGGAUGGCCCUACGUCCCUGUCCCUUUCCGGAGGGAGCAGGAAGGUAGGGGGGGGGGUUGCAGGUAAGAAGCCUCCAGGUCCUCCACAGUCCUGCCUUUCCUGGGAGAGAGACUAAGUCCUGAGCCCACUCUAGCCCCCGCCCUCAUGCAGGGCACCACCGCGGCGGCGGCGGCGGAAGCGGCGCGGGAGGGAGCUUACCUCCAGUGUGGGCUCCCUCGCCCCAGCCCCAGCAGGCUCUGCAGUGACCCUCUGACUUGCAGGGUAUGGCACAGCCUCAGGAGCGGCUCCAGAGCCAUCCACCAUAGACCCUGGCCUCGGGAGCCCCACCCUCGACCGAGAGGCACCAGGGCCCUCUGAAGGACAGCAGGGUCCCUCAGCGGGUUGGAGCUCAGCCUCCGGCGGCUGCCUCUCCGACUCCUGCCGGCCAGCAGUCUCGGGAGGAAAGUUGUUCAGCUGGCCAGGCAGGUCUGCCUCAGCAGUAACAGGACACAGGAUGACGGGCCGGGCGUGUUUAACCCCUUCCUGCUGUCGGCCGGCCGGGCGGGCGGGCGGGCGGUGCCUUCAGGGGAGGAGACCUGCUUGUUUGUCUGCCGGUGACCUCAGGGGUACAGACCUGGAGCUGAUCCACGCCCACCCUGCCGGGAGUUAACCUUUCCACUACCUCCUCAGCUAGAAGGGGAAUGGGGUAGGGGUGGAGGCAACUCCAAUACCACCACCACCACCACGCCCUACCCCUCCUAGUCAGGGCGACAGUAAAACAAGAAGGCAGAACACCCCCUGGGGUUUGUCUUUUCCUGCUCCCAGCUGGCUUCCCCUUGCUACCACAAGGGUCCUGAGGACUCUGCCUCUCCAGCUCUGGAAGGGCCCUGCCGCCUCUCAAACUCCUUCUUCCACAUCUCACCUGGAGUGUGCUGAAGGCUCAUGAGGUCAGUAUGAAUCCCACAGGACUUGGCUACUCCCAAGCUACCGGCUGCCCUUAAUCCUCCGUGGCUCCUAGAGACCCCCCCAGCCCACAAGUUGUUUGCAGUUGUUACAACAGAAGCCCCAGGAUGACCUGAGCAGGCGCUGCCUGUCUUGCCCAGCUGUUACCCUUCACCCAUUUGACAAGGCCCACAUUCCUUGGUCCAGGAAGGAGUGGGAACUCUCAAAGCUGUUUUCCUGGAGACAUUGUCUCCCCGUGUAGCCCAGGCUGGCCUCAAAGUCAUUAUGUAGCUCAGGCUGAUUUUGAAUUUACAACCUUCGGUGUCCGGCUGAGAUUACAUUUUUCACUGUAGCAGGAAAAUGGCUCAGGGCCAGAGGAGUUGACUGGCGGAAGGGAUGAAGCCGACCAGAGCCCCAAAGACUAACGUCUGCUUAGGACAAGGGUGCUAAAGAGAGCAGAUGGGGAGAGGAAAUUUGUACAUGUGAGAGUUUCUUGGACUGUUGCAAAUAGUUGUACUUUUGUUUUUCUUCAGACCUGGGGUGGGUCUGGGCUCAGCCCCAAUUCCUCCGGGGUUUAAAGAGCUUGGCAAGUGCCAUCCUGAAGGAUGAGGUGAGCUGAAGUAGAAGACUCCAGAAAGUCAGAUUCCAUCAGCCCUGCUUCUCCUCCUAGUCCCUCACUCGGUCCCUACUGUGUGAGGCCACUUGAGCUGGAUCCGGGAAGCAUGACCCUGAAAGUGUGGGCCUGAGGCAGGCAGCGACUGCUCCAAAGAUGCAUCGAUCUGCCCUGUCACCUGACCUGCUCUCCUGCUUUGUCAUCUGCACAUCGCCUCCCUCCAUGUGGGUGGCUCUGAGAACCACAUGCGGGCAGGUGGGAUACAGGAGGUCCUAGACCAUCACCUGACACAGUUGAGACCCAGCGUCCCCAGAGGCACAACGGGUGUAGGAACCUAAAGAUUCUUUAUUGACUUCUUCUAACCAUUUUCCCAGGAGGAACCGUGGGCCCAGGAAUCAGCUGCAAAAACGCAAAGGUUCUUCAACAUUCUUUAGGGGGCUGAGCUCAUCAGCCAGGAUCAUCAUGUCGGUAACCAAGUUAUCCAGCAGCCCAUAGACCUGCAAGAAUGGGAUAAACAUCAGAGGCCAAGGCUGGCCUGCAGAAGGCACCGAUGGACCAGCCUUACUAAAAGAGGAAAUACGGAGAGCAGAAUGCCAAAGUUGGAUAGUGUAUUGCUGCAUGUAAUUGUUUUUCAGAUCUGGAGUGGGUCUGGGAAUCAGUUCCAAUUCUGUGUUGGUUUUCCAGAAGCCAACUCUCCUUCCUGUAAGAUCAUAGCUCUACAUAUUGAAGGUUCCAAAAACCAAGACUGAGCCCCCCCCCCCCACUGCGGCUGGACCACACAGCUUAAGAAAAUUGACUCUUAAUACCAUAGAGUCGAAGAAGUGUUUAUACCCCGGAGUCCCCAGCGCCCCAAAACUCCCUUCUGGAGCCCAUCAGCCAUCAGAAGACUCAAUGAUGUCACAGGCAGCAGCAAACUAUUUCUGGUCAAAGGAGACCCUGGGGUGGUCCCACAGUGCACAGUAAUGCAAGCCCAGAUUCGCAAUGCCUUAUCAGGGAAAGACAAAGCAUCCCUGUUAGAUAUGCUGACUUAGUCAGCGUGGUUUUGUAGACCUCCCACACACCUUGAAAAAAAAACCAUAGUAACCAAAGACUAAGAUGACCUGGGGCAUCUCUGAGGACCUGUUGCUUAAGACCAGAUCACGAUGAAGUCUUUUCAGCAAAUGCACACUGGCUCUCCUUUGAAUGUACAUUGCCCCCUCCAGAGCUCAUGUUAAAAUCUGCUUCCGGUAUGAGUGUUGAGAAAUCUGGAGACCUUUAAGAGGUCUUUGAGUCAGGAGGGCCCCACCUGCACCGAGCAAUUAAUACCUUCACCACAGUGAGUCCUGGCGGUUGUCAGGAAACAAGUCUCCUUUUGUGUACCUUCCACACAAGCCCAGCUGCCCCUCUGCCUUCUACCAUGAGUUGAAGCAGCACGAGUGCCCUACCCCUGGGCUUUCUGGCCUGCAGAGCUGUGAGCCAAGAUAAACUUUUCCUAUAAAUCUCCUGAUCUGUGGUAUUUUGGUAUAGCAACAGAAAGAGGACUAAGACAACCCUCCACGGUAUUCUCCCAGGAAACACACCUCUUACCAGUGUGUACCUGUGGGGAGGUGGACGCAGCUCUACAAAGGGAAGGCCUUCACCCUUGGUGUGUUCCCGGGAGUCUGUUUUCCAAAGGACAGCUAGAGGCACCCUACGUCCGAUCAUAUCACUCUCAAUGACUUCCGGGGUCACCCAGAGGAAACUCCGAGGCGAGGCCUCACAUGGGCCAGCCAAGGCCUUCUUGACCACCCACAUGCCCUGUCUGCAGCUUCUCUUCCUUGCCACUCUCCUGGCCCACUUCCUCCUCCGCAUCAGCUGCUUCCUCUGCCUAAGGCACCCUUCCUUGGCCAACCUUCAUUUCUCUCUGGUUUUUGUUUGUUUGUUUGUUUGUUUGUAGGUAAAUGCAGGUGCUCCUCAGUGGAAUAAAGGGAAGGAGAGAUGCAGGGGUGAGGGCUGGGAGGUAUGGUAGCCCCCUCUUCCCUUCACCUCAGCAUGCAACCUCUGGGUAUAUUUCUGCAUGACCAGGGGGUCUAUGGGCUCCUGCGAAGGGACCGUGCUGUCAGGGGUAGGGUCUUCUGAGGAGAGCCUGUCCCGGCUUGCAGACUUCACCACUUUCUUGUCAUCCUUUGCCUUCAGUUUCUUGCUAUUCAGGCGAUCCUGCGUGGAGAAAUGGAGACACACAACCUCAACAGCUCCUGAGGGAGGUCUGAUGUUCUCUCCGGUGGCUCUCCUGGAGCGACCGCCCCCCUCCCAUGUCCCACCCCCCCAGCACUCCCCAGCCCCAUCGGGGUGCAGAUCACAGCCGCACAUACCUCUUUCCCUGAUGCCUUGGCCCCCUUUUUUUCCUCUUUGUCUCUGGCGCCCAGCACUUUCUUUUCCUGUGUGGCCCCUUUCCGCUCCUCCUUCCCGACUUUACUCACCGCCACCUUCACUUCUACGACUGUGGGGGACUUUUGACCUAAGAGGGGGAAAGUGGGAGACAUCCAGAAGCACACACCCCCCCCCCACCCACCCCCCCACCCCCGCGAACACAUGGCCUGGUCUACAUCCCAGGCUUAUGCCAAGGUAAGCUGGGUGAUGAGGAAAAUAGAGAAUCCCUGCAGGCUGAGAGCAGAGGGGGUAAGGAAGUGGGGGGGAGGGAGAAGACUUCCUCCAGCCCUCCACGUGACCUUAGGGAACAAGGCUGUGUGACCAGGGCAAGAGACAGUUCAGUCCCAGCCCCACUCUGUUUAAACUCCCUGUGAUUCAGCGUGCUAAACAAGGGGACUCCACCAAGGUAGAAUCUGAGUCUCAAGUCCUGGCAACAGACACAAAGAUGGAUGAAAAAAAAAAACAAAACAAAACACAAAAACCAAGCUGGAUGAGACCCACCACUAGGGACUCAAGUACCUACCAUAAGGGGUUAAACAGUCAAGGUAUUACUGCCUUCAGGGCAGAGGGCUGAGGAAGAGAAGACUACAUGAGGUGAGCCCUCACAAUGUCUGACCUUGGUCUUCUGGAACAUCCAAAUAAACGGUCUCCUUCUCAGGCAAUCCCAAAAGAGCCCUUAGCCACAGUGACUGGCUUACCAGGCUGUCAAUCACAUCUCGCCACAGCUGCAAACUAGAGGAAAAGACACAUUGGAGAAAAGCCAUCACUCUUCAUCUGUCCUCGAACCUUCGGAGGCUCGGAUGCCUCCCUUUGAAGACUCCAGCACAGGGGAAACACUACCACGAAAAUGCCAUGUUACCAAGCAGCCAAUCCUCCCUGACACCAUGCAAGUGUUCACAUCGGAAAUCUGGCUUCCCUGUGGUGGCAACCAAGAGACAAGGACCAGGACUGGUAUUAAGAAGCCUGAAUGAACUCAGUCUUGCUUGAGAGUCUAAAUUCCAGCUUGGAGUGAUGGCUAGACUCGGUCAGGCUCCAUGGGAAGGGCUGACUGAGCCUUGCACAAGAUUCCCGGCAUGAGGCUCCUGAGGCUGUGUUCUGGACCUUUCAAAAACCUAUCCACCUAAGUCCAAACAGGUGACCGCUCGGUGACACAGACAAGUGAAGCUUUUUGUGAGGCUCCCUCUCCCUUCAAGUGUCCCCUGCCCCCUCCCACCCCAGCCCCCAUUCUUCUGCUUGAGAAGGAACAAGACAAGGGGGAGGGAAUGGGGUCGGGGAGGCAAACUGCUCCCCAGAGGAGCAAGGGGCAGCUGUGAGGCUGCUCUAGCAGAUUCCAGAGUAUGAGAUGUUUGCAGCAUUUCUUAGCAUCCUGGCGUCCGGAGCUACCUUCCCAGGGCCCCUGGCCAGGCACUACCAAGGGAAGGAGGAGAUCUGGGGUGGUCCCCAGGAGGGUACCUACCACAUCUGGUGCAGGAGAUCAGACUGCAAUGGCUUCUGCUCCUGGCACAGCUCCACGGCUGCCUUGUUGAGCCGGAUGAGGGCAUCCUCUCUCUGGAUCUCCUCAGGAAAGGUAAUCACUGCCUGGUUAGGGCCAUGGACACCAUGGGCAACCAUUCUGGACCAGAAGAACUCCAAGGGUCCCUGUGUUUUCUCUAGCAAUGGACCUGGCUACAUGGAACAGAAGCUAUGGAGUCUAUAGAGGAUGCCUUCUCUGGGAACCAGUGACCUGCCUCAAAAAAUCUAUUCCCAUGAACCUCAGUUUUCAAAGAAGCUCCUUGUUUUAAAAAAAAAAAAAAAAAAAAAAAAAAGUUUUGACUCAAGAGACUACUUUUUUCUGGGCCCUUGGGUUUCAUCUAUAUGCCCACGGGCCAAGGGAAGUUGCUGGAGCAACACACCCAGGGACCUUCUCCACCAACCCCGCCAGAGUCUUAGGGGCACCUUUCUGAAGUCCUCCAGGCAGAGGUUCCACUUGGGCAGGGGAAGGCUCUCCAGCUCCCAAGGGCUCCUGGUAUUCUCCCUGUCAGGACUCUCCUCCACCAGGAUCUCCUCCAUGAUGCUCUUCCGUGGAAAACUCUUGCUGCCCACGCCAGUCUUCUGAGACAGGAAGGACUCCCGGGUUUCCUUGAGCGUCUCCGACUCCUGCCUCAGUUGCAGCUGUGAGGCAUCCAAGACUGGACUCCUGCUGCUCCGGCUGCUCCGGCUGCUCAUGGAGUGUUCGAGGUCUGCUUGGGCCUUGUCAACGAACACCACCGGCAGUGGACCCGGCCGGGCUCUGGGGCUGAGGGCAUCCUCCUGACCUGCCCUGGCCUCGUCAGUCUUCAGCGGCAGGAGCGAACACUGCUGCCACAGCUGGUGCAGGUUUUGCACCACUUGAUGCUGGUAAUGCAACUGCAGCCCAGGUGAGGGAGGACACAGACACAGAGGCACAUGCCUUUGGGCCUCCCAAGACAGGCAAGGUUUAAAUGAAGAAUCACAUGAUGUUCUGGUCUCACUAAGCAUCCGCCCACUUGUCAACUAUUUUGGGAUCGCUGUGAGGGGGCGAAUUACUUGUGGAAGAUGUGCCCAGCACAGGUUCCGGCAUGCGGAAGGAUUUGCUACUACAACCACCCAGAGUGCACAGGGCCAACCCAUACCCGAGGAUUCCUGUGGUGGAACAAGUCCUCCUCGGUGAGAUUGGCAUCCACGGGGGAUGGUACACGCUCUGGAGUCGAGACACCCCUCAGCAACUCCUGCAGCACACUCUGUGCGAUGGUGACAGCCUCGUGGGCAGCCAGCUUACUCUGGGGAAAGAAAGACGGCACAAGAUGGCAGCCUGGGCUCUCCACUGCCCAUGUAUCCUCAAGGAGAGAGUCAGAACAUUCUAGAGUAGGGUCUGAGUUCCUACCUGGACGUCAGUCCCUCUGACUUACACAGACACCUAUUAUUGCAAGACACAAAAAUCUCCAGGUCUCUCUAAACAUCCAUGUUCCCCUCAAAAAGGUAAAAGACACCAGCAGAGGCCAGUGCCAGAGGAGAGCCACUCCCGCACAGGAUUUGGACCCUCCAAUCCCCUAUUGGAAGAAGGCGUAGAGUCAGAGUCCACAGUUUGGGUGCCAUUAAGGAUGGUAGUGAACUUUCCUCUGGCCUGGCCACAUAGUGUCAUAGAAACCCAGCCGAAGGGCAUCUCUCUCCACACACAGGUCCUAGAGUCAGCAAAUACAGUGAACUUGGCCUUUGUCAAAGUUACAAUCUAAUUGGCACGGGCCAAGCCCCAGCCUGAAGCAGGCAGCUGUGUGUAGGGUACCACAUAAAUGCCCAGCUUUCCAUAGAAUCCCACAGAGCAGGGCACAAGAAAACCACACCGAGACUGAACAGGGACAAAGAGCCUCCCGCUCUCACCUUGACUCUGCAGGGAGGCUGACAAUGAGAAGGGUACUGAAGCUGGUUAUUUAAGUCGCGGUCUCUGGGCCGGAAGUCUUGUCAGUUCAGUCCCACUCUACCGCACAGCGGCAGACAGCCACGAACAAAAGGCAGCCCCACCCUAAGGUCUCCCAUAGCCACCCGAGACUCACAGUCCCAGUGUGGAAGCUCCCACUAGGGACCCCUACAUACUUCUGUGAAGUCUGUAUCUCAGGAUUUCAUCUUGUUCCCUUCUAAUUCAGGGCUGCAAGGUAGGGUCCCUGGCUGGCCUGCCCUAGCCUGUCCUUUCAUCUUCUCCAUCAUAAAGGCCUGGGUAUUGUUUCCUAAGCAAGAGUAGUUAUCUGUCUGUGUGGUGAGAAAAAAAAAAAUCACCUCUCAAGAUAGGAAAAUUAAAGAUCCCUGGAGGAACCCCUGAGUGACCCAUGUGCUGCCCCCAUGGCUGACAUUCUAAGUCCCCUACCUCCAGCAACUUCCUCUCUUCGACAAAAGUGUCCUGGGUCAGUGAGAUAGCAUGGAGAGUGACCUGGAGGACAGCACCUCCCAGGAGGGUGGGAUGGGUCCCAAAUUCCCAAGAUUCCCUGAAGAUGCCAGCAUUCAGAGACUUGAAGAAGAAGGUGAAGUGUUUGGUCUCCCCAGGCAGAAUCACACCUGAGAGAGACAGAGGCAGAGGCUGUGAUGGAGGAGCUGGCCGAACCGCCAGUCUACGUGCAGAAAGGCCACUGCAGCCCAGCCCACAUCUGGUCACCAGCCAGCCAGCCCUGCUUCUCAGGACCAUAAGGUUUCCCGGAAUGGGUGACUUUGAGUGUUACAGCUGGGAAAGAGCGAGUCAGUCAGGAACAGAUGGUCAUCCUGGCCCCAGGUCUGUGCUCCCUGAACGGCUCCUCCCUCUCUGCAUUCUCAAGAAUUCUCUUGUUUUCUCAACAAAUGUGAAUAGUUAGACCACACACUUCAUGAGAGAAACGGGAGCGUCAAGGCAGAAGGAGGGGAGAGACCGGUAGGUACUAACCAAACACUGGAGUGUCCCGGUCACUGAGGCAAAUGGGGAGCUGGUGAGGAGGGUAGCUUGGGGGUACCUUCCCGGUUGUUAAAGUAAAACCGCUGCGUCCUGUUUCUCUUUAGGUCUUGGAAAAAAUUCAUCUGGGGCCGCCGUCGCCAGUCGUACCAAAUGGCCACAGUGCCGUUAUUGACCACAGUUAGUUCUGAAGAUGUUUUCUCCCCUUCGAGGGUCUCAAAUGUCAGGCGAACACCAAUGCCAAUGGUUUGCUGUGGAGGAAGUAGGCACAAGCACUGUGCUGGCUACAAGUUUCACCCUCGGGUGACCAAGUCAUCCCUGUUUCCUAUGACUUCUCUGAAAGUCCAGUGUUGACACUGUUCCUCUGGGCUUGGUCACCCUGAGUGGUGUCAACCCUACACCAGUAAUUGCCUCUGAGGUUAUCACCAACACUAAGAAGAGAAGUAUUUGACACCCGGUAUUGUUUUUGGUCCUUAGCAUCUGAAGAAUGUUCUAGAACAGGUACUGGGGAGGUGACUCAGAGGUUAGUUUGCAAGCCCAAAGACUGGAGAUCUGAUCUCCAGAAGCCAGGUUGAGUGUGACAGUCUGCCUGUUAUCCCAGCACAUAGGAGGUGAAGACGGAAUCCCCAGAGUGAGCUGGCCAGCCAGACUCACCCCAACAUUAGCUGUAGGUUCAGUGAAAGCCCCUGCCUCAGGACACAGGUGGAAAGAAAGAGAUGGAGACGCUCUGUCAGCCUCAGGCCUACACAAAGACGUUCACACAAGAGGUGCACUGCACCCAACAUCUGUGCUCACACAUAUUUGCAAUGCACAUGUGUGUAAGUCUCCACACAUUCACAUACACAUACAAAAACUAUAAUAAUAAUAAUAAAUAUUAUCCUAAAACCUCCAUCUAGCCCCAUCUAUGUAAAAGGGGUUAUUUGCCUGCUGGAGGGCUAGUUGAAAACUAGGUAUUAUCAGUGAUGCGCUCUCUCUCUCUCUCUCUCUCUCUCUCUCUCUCUCUCUCUCUCCCCCUACCCACCACAGGGUCUCUUUGUGUAGCCUUGGCUGUCCUGGAACUUGCUCUAUUCUAGGCUGGCCUCGAACUCACAGAGACCCGCCCGCCUCUGCCUCCUGAGUGCUGGGAUUUAAGGUGUGCGCCACCGCUGCCAGCCUUUUCAGCCUUGUGAUCUCAUUUUGCUUCAGUUAGUGCUGCUGUUACCAUUUCCAGGCAUGUGGAAUGUGCAAUCAGAUAAAAACACCUAUCAGAAACUGUGGACUCCUUGUGACUGUCACGGUCACCUUGGGGCCUGGCCCGUCAGGGAGGCCCUUCCUGCAAGUGCAUGAAGCUGAAAAGGCAGUUUACCUUGUCCUCUGAGUUACUGCCUCUGAUCCAGCAAGCUGGCUUCCCACAGAACAGCAGUGAAGGGCCGAGAAUAGGCAUGGGGACCAUGUCAGAGACAUUGGUCAAUGAGUCUCUGUAAGAAAAAAAAAAAAACAAAAAAACCAAAAAACGAUUCUUUAUUUUCCUGGAGG